RNAcentral lists this ribosomal RNA (253 nucleotides) under uncultured bacterium. Its description in RNAcentral is "partial 16S ribosomal RNA". It matches the Rfam family "Bacterial small subunit ribosomal RNA", at positions 524 to 776 of the family's 1533-position model. The record is from RNAcentral.
UACGAAGGGGGCUAGCGUUGCUCGGAAUCACUGGGCGUAAAGCGCACGUAGGCGGAUUGCUAAGUCAGGGGUGAAAUCCUGGAGCUCAACUCCAGAACUGCCUUUGAUACUGGCGACCUUGAGUCCGGGAGAGGUGAGUGGAACUGCGAGUGUAGAGGUGAAAUUCGUAGAUAUUCGCAAGAACACCAGUGGCGAAGGCGGUUCUCUGGGACGGUACUGACGCUGAGACGCGAAAGCGUGGGGAGCGAACAGG